UAGUAUUAGUCUCAGAUAACUUAUUUACACUAUUUUUCAUACUGCACAAUAGUAAACUACAUGGUUGACUAUUGCAUAUAUAACUUUGUCCACACGCCUUCAUUCGAUUUGCUUGAUAUAUAACUUUGUCCACACUCCUUCAUUUGAUUUGCUUGCAUGUUGUGACACACGGAUCUACUAAAGGACAUAUUGUGUUAGGCAAACUAUUCAAAUAGUGCAUCUCAUGGAUGGGGAGAAAAUAAUUUAGUCUAUAUGAAGGAGAAUCACUCUGGAUAAUAUACAAUGAUCUGGAUACAGUGUAGCCUCUUCAACAUAAAAGAAUAUAAAAGAUAAAAUUAAAAUUAUUUUAUCUUAGUAUUCUACAUGGCCUACAAUAUGGGCAACAGAUAAGAAUCACAACCCUAUGGUGACACAAGAAGCCUCUGAAGCAAAGAAGGCGGCUCAGCGGUUACACGAAAAGCGUAGGAGGUGGCACGCUGGCCUACAUCUCCUCAAGCUCUGUGUGGUUCCCAUCAAUAAGGUAAGGGUCCAUGAAACCACACAUAAUUAUUUUCGCCUGCGAAGUCACAACACAAAUAACUAUGGGAUCUUAUUUUCUAGAAAAGGAUCAACAAUUAGAAUGCUAGAUCUUGGCAACAACAACAUAAUACAUACUUCCAUAUCAGAGACAUAAAUUUCUUAAUUUCGAAACAAUGCGCUUCUAAAAUCUUCUAUCUAUCAACAACAUAGUAUUAGUGGUUGUGCUUUCAGCAACAUAAACAAUUAAGGACAUGCAACCAAUAGAAACUCAACAUAAGUUAGUUUUCGUGAGAAACACAACCAAUAGAAGCUGAAUAAAGCAACAGAAGGAACCAAUAGAUAACUUUAUUGGCACCUAGCAUAUAUGGUUCAAUUCUCUUUCAACUAAAAUAUAUAUGCAAAGGUGGGUCUGGUUACCUUGCAUUAAUUUAACAUAAAUGAAUUUUGCUUCCCACGGAAAAACAAACAUCAACAUAGUUAGUGCAAGUACAGUGCAUGAUUCAGUAGAAGAUGGAUGUGUUUAGUAGCUAUAUUCUGGUUGAGGUAGAAGAUGCAGAGUGAACGGUAUAUAGUACCACUUUAUUGGGAGAUUCGGCAUUUUAGACCUUGGCUUCCUCCCCGAGCUGCUCCUGCUCCGCUUUCUGCUUGCGCGGCUCGGCUAGAGAUGCCAAUGCUCCAGAUAAAACUAUAAGAAAAUAAUAACAGGAGAAUCCAUUAAAUUUGUGAGGGUAUCGGAGGCAGGAAUACAUAUUAAGAUUAAGAACAAAUAGAAAUGACCUUUUGCCUCUUGUAGAAUAAGAUUUCACAAUAAAUGAAUCGGAAAAUUGAUCUUAGUUGCACGGACAAAAGCAUGCAGAGCUGGAUUUAUAGCUUUACGGUCAGCAGUACCUACAGUCUGAUGCAACUGAUCCAUUGAAGAACAGAUAGUAAAAGCUGAUAGAAAUACACAGGUGCGGCUAGUCUAAUUUAAAAUCUACCAGGUCAACGAAGCUCACUUCCAAUUGAUAGAAAAGCUACACAUUACGCAUGUAUUUUUUUUGAGCAAAAAUUAUUAUACAUGUAUUGAAUAAAGAACUUCGGGUCAAAAUUACAUUUAGAUAUUAAUCGAAGGAAAAAUAAAUUGCAAAGGAGAUGGAUACUAUAAAGCAAACAAAUCAUCGUUCUGAGUCAGCAAAAUCAAUCACUAAAAGGCAGGAAUCAUGUGGUCUUCGAGAGAAGAGCAGCAUCCUUCUCUCCAUUAUCACACAUGAUUCUAUUUUGCACCCGAUAGAAAUAGAAUACCUUCUCAGGCCAUACCCAACCCGCUAACAAAGCAAAAUACAACAUAGCAUGACACCUAUGAGAUGCCAGAAGAAUAUUUAGAUAGCCAUGAUGGCUGUCAAUUCUGAUGGGCCGCUGAACAAAGGGUUAGAAGCAUUUCAUGUCAAUGAUGUAGUAACAGGAAGCAAUAAUCUAGGUUAUGUACACAUAAGGAUAGAUACUUGAUCAUAUGUACAUAGGAUUCAUAAUAAUUAGACCUGGUCAUUUCUACAUACAGAGGAAGCACUCAGUAGUGCAUCAGGGGGCGUAGCUUGCCGCGCGGUGCCCGCCGAACUUCAUACCAUCAGACAUGAAAAUGGACUGGGAAUAUAGAUGUUUUGGCGCAUUGGAGGUCAUAAUUAAUUAAUUAUAAAUCAUGUUGCUGGCCACUUAAUAAGAAAUUCAGUCAUAAAUAAACGCUGGCAUCAUAUAGAAACACUGACCAUUUAGAAACACUGACAGAUGAUGAUGCGGAGCAUCCCUCGCUCAUCCCCAUGGACGUGUCUACAUCUUCCUCAACACCACUUGGACCCAUGACAAGAGCUAGAGCCAAGGCUAUCGAAGAUAAGGUGAACUCGCUCCUUUCCGAACUUCCUCUCUCUACUCACGAGACUUGGCUACUACCUUAUACGGACACUUUGUGUGUGAUCAGGUACCUGGAGGAAAGCCAAGGUGCAUCUACAUCCAUUGGACAAGAAGGCGAAGCUACCAACCACGAAGAUCAAGAAGAAGGUCCACCGGAGAAAGCUCCAGCCACCGGACAUCCGGCCCAGACCGGACAACCGGCGCCUGAAGCCCCAGCCGCCAAGUCCCAGCCAGAUCAGGCCCCAGCGAGCGGACGUCCGGCCCGGACCGUACGACCGGCGCCUGAAGCCCCAGCCAGGCCCUAGCGAGCGGACGUCCGGCCCAGACUGGACAACCGGCCACACUCUAGCAAGCGGACGACCGGAGCCACCGGACGUCCGGCAUCUGUCAACAGAAGGGAAAUUAACGGAAGUAUGAAACUUCCGGACGUCUGGCGCACCCAUUCCAGAGAGCUUCCAGCGGACGUCCGGCGUCACCGGACGACCGGUCCCUCAUGAGCCACCGGACGACCGGCCCCCAGCGGACGACCGGUGCCUGUCUGCGCACAGUUUCGGGCCAAAGCCCAUGUACCCCUCUACUUCGCCCCCUUUUGCACUAAGACUAUAAAUAGGACCCCUCCUCCUCCUAGCUAGAGUUAGCAUUGGAUUAGCUCAUAUUUGUGUGAGAGCAUUUGCUCAUCCACUUGGAUACUUCUCCUCGGAGAUCACAACCUCUUCGGAGAAGAUCCCCCAAGCGGAUUCAAGACCCCUCUCUAGGGAAGAACAUCAAGGCCACCUCGCGGAGAAGAACGGUUCCUUUGUAUCCUUACCUUUGUUGACUUUGGAUCUCGUGUAUCUCUUAUGUGUGUGGUGAUCUAGCACUUGUGUGAUCGAUUCCUUAUUGUUUUAGUGAUUCUCUCUCUCGUUUUCCCCGUGUUUCCCUUUGUGCUUCCGUGUGUUCUUCGUGAUUCCCCGUAGGAUCCACUCCAAACGUGAAAGAUCGACGCUAUAGGGUUCCACCCUACAUCAUCUUGGUAUCAUGAGCCACGUUGAUCACGUUUUUGGAGCCCCUACCUCGUGUUUUCUAGCUUGAUUUUGUUGUUUUAGUCCUAAAUCCGAAAAUCCCCACCAAAAAUAGCCCCAAAUUUUUUUUGUGAUUUGUUGGUGUGAUGAAAUUUUGUUGGAUUUGGUCCAUGGAUUUGUGUUGCUACGUGUGGAUCUAGCUUCCCCCACCCUCCCCACCCUUUUCCAUCCACCAAAUCACUCGAUUUCGACCUCACCAUCUUCUUCUUCCCCAGAAAUCUCGCAGUUCUUCCCGAGCCCGACUUUCGCCCAGGUUCCGGACGACCGGAAAAUGUCGGACGUCCGACGAAGACUGGACGACCAUAAAAGCCCGGACGUCCGUAAAACCCUGACGAAACUGAACUUUGUCAGUUCUACCACCACCACAACCCCACAUUCCACCAUAUCUUCCAAACCCAUAUACACCAAAAUCUUCCCCGAUACCUCCUAUGACGAUUUUGACACAUUUUGGUCCUUGAGAUUUUGAGUUGUGGCUCCCGUAUCCUUUUGUGUUUCGGCUAUCUAGGUACGGUUCGACUUCAUCACCACCACGGCUCAUCUUCGCAAGGGUAUCAUCAUCGCCAAGGACGGUAACUUCGACGACAUCUUUGUCAUACCUUGCAAUUGCAUUGAUACCCCACAUGGCCCUACUUUUGCGUAGCUUACCCAUCGAGACUAGCCAUUGAGUAUUGCCGGCAACGUGACUUGUGCACAUUUAGUGAUCAUACUCCAUAGCAUACAUACCAUACCAUAGUGGUGCAUAUCUUGAGAUACACUUGUGUGUCACAAAGUUCAUAGCAUACACAAUUGCUAUCUUGGUUCGUGAAGUUUUGCAUGAGAAAAGAGCUCAAAAGUGAAAGAGCCACCCAAGCUUUUAAGCAAAGAGGAAAGAUAAGCAAAGAGCUUAUGAGCAAGAACCAUAGCACCAUACUACAUUAAGAUUGUUAUAUUGGAUCAUCUUGGAUCAUUGCACCAAAAUACCAUACAUAUAGCAUACUUGGGAUAGAGAUAGUUGCAUUUUUGCCUAGUAGGUUGUGCACAAGUUUGCGUAUCCGCCUAUUGUGCAAUCGUGCUAGCGUCUCUCUAGUAUUGUGCAACAAGAGCAUUUUCGUGGUUUCCACAUUUUGGCUCACUUUUGGUUUGCACAAUCCCACUUAUCUAUUUGCGUGUGUGUUUCCGUGUACUAUUACUUGCUUGGUCUACUUGUUGCAUUUGCAAAUUUGUGAAUCAUUUCCAACAUUAUUUAAGCUCACUUACUAUUGCAUCAAAUUUUAUGCCACCAUCCUAACCAAGCUCCACUAUAAGCUUUUACUUGUGUAGGUGUGAGAACCGACAAGAAUUGGUACCAAUAGUGCUAUUUCAUUGUCCGCAUUUGAAUGAACUUGAUUCAUCUUCAACAUCGGUCAAAGGUACAUUGGUAUUAGUUCUUCUCCUUCUACCACUCACAUUUUGCUUGAAAUGAUGGAUAGGCCAAGUACUUCUACCAACCCAUUCUUCAUCGAGCAAGACGAUGACAUGUCAUCAUACGUCACCAAGAGCCACCUCUUUGGUGCACAACGAGCAUUGCAUCAAGAGCAACAAGCAAUGAACGACCGAAUCGACAACCUCGCCACCGACUUACGACUCUCCGAGCAACGUACAAGAGACUACUUCGACAACAAGCUCGACGCGCACAAGCAAGAGAACGAUGCAAGAAUGGACGAAAUCCACGCCUUGUUGGUGAACCGGCCUCCUUCUACAUCCUCAUACUCAAGACGGAGCCACUCAAGUCGACACUCUGAUGACUCCUUCUCCGGCUCAAGUACACCGUCAUUGAACACUCUUCGACGAGCCGCGCGUCAAGACCGUCAUGCAUCUCGCAACCCGCUACAUGUCAAGCAUUCACAAGAGCAAGACGAUGAGCAAGUCCCUCAUCCCCAAUCAAACCAAGUAGCGUUUGCUCAAGCUCAAGAACGACAAUGUCUUCGUCGCCAAGAAGAACAAGAACGAGCGCGUCUACAUCAAGAGCAACAAGACGCCGAGGCUCAACGUCUUCAACAACAACAACGAGAAGCACAAGCUCUUGAGGCGGAACGUGCCCUUCAAGCAUCAAGUCGAGCUAUCGCCAACCGCAAUCGCGAACGGAGCAAUCAAGAGGAAGCCCUUCGAGAAGAAAUCCAAGAGAGGAACUACCAACCGCGUGCGCAACGUCAAGCUCCUCAAGCUCAACCUCAACCUCAAGGUCAACAAGAGCAAGUUGAUCAUGGACUUCCUCCACGUCAAGAGAAACAUGAGGAUGAUUACCCUCCAUGUCAAGGGCGUCAUCAUCACCAUCACCAACAACACAAUGAAGAGCAACGCUAUGGAAAACUCAAAUUCACAAUGCCCAAGUUCAAUGGAAGCAAUAAUCCCGAGGAGUACCUUUCAUGGGCAUUGAAGGUCGACAAGAUCUUUCGUUUGCACAACUAUGAGGAAGAGAAGAAGAUUGCUAUGGCAUCACUUGAGUUCCAAGACUAUGUGCUCAUAUGGUGGGAACAAGUCCUUGAGCGCCGACAAGCAAGAGGUGAACCUCCAAUCACCACUUGGGCUCAAAUGAAGGAUGUCAUGCGAGCACGUUUUGUGCCAACCUACUACAAUCGCGAUCUCUUCAAGAAGCUACAACUCCUCAAGAAAGGAACAAAGAGUGUUGAAGAAUACUACAAGGAAACGGAGAUUGCCAUGAUUCGAGCCAAUGUCACGAAGGAUGAUGAGCAAACAAUGGCACGAUUCUUGAAUGGACUCAAUCAUCCCAUCAAGAAGAUCGCCGACUUCCAACCCUACUCCAACCUCAUUGAGCUCGUGCAUCAAGCUACAAAGGCGGAACGCCAAGUGCAAGAUGACUUCAAGUACGCCAAGUACUCCUCCAAGACCUACGGCUUCUCCAACAACCAAGCUUCAACAACUACUCCAACUUCGACAUCAACCAAGCCUUCUCCAAGCAACAACGACAAGUCAAGUUACAAGAAAACUUCCACAAGUUCAAGUCGUCUUCCUCCUACUACAAGCAACUUCAAGCCGCGUGCUUCGUCAUCUACUCCGACCGAUGAGACCGUCAAGACAAGCUCCUUCAAGUGUUUCACUUGCGGAGGCCGAGGCCACAAGUCCUAUGAAUGCACAAACAAGCGCACCAUGAUCCUCAACAAUGAUGGCACCUACGACUCAAUGAGUGAAGAUGAAAUGGAAGCUAUUGAGCAAGUAGCCAUGCAUAGGCGAGUGAAUGAGGAUGAAGAUGAUCAAGUCUUUUGUGAUGAAGAUACGAGCCCUGCUCUCGUUGUCUCCAAGGUCUUGACUCUUCAACAUCAACAAGAAGAAGACCAACGAUGCCACAUCUUCCACACAAAGGCCGGCAUCAAUGGACGAUCCGUCAAGGUCAUCAUCGAUGGAGGUAGUUGCCACAACUUGACAAGUGAAGAACUAUGCUCCAAGCUUCAAUUGGUCAAGAAGAAGCACCCGCACCCCUACAAGGUUCAAUGGCUAAGUGACUCCAGCACUAUACGAGUUGAGCAUACGGUCCAAGUAUCCUUCAAAAUUGGUGCAUAUGAGGACACUUUGGAGUGUGAUGUGGUCCCAAUGACCGUUUGCCACCUCUUUCUUGGUCUACCAUGGCAAUUCGACCGUGGUGUCUUCCACAACGGGCGUACAAACCACUAUAGCUUCAAGAUGAAAGGAAAAGAAUAUGUGCUACGACCCAUGUCUCCUAGUCAAGUGAUAGCCGACAAGCAAGCCACCCACCAUAGAGAGAAGAGUGAGAAAGUGAGCCACCAAAAAGUGAGUGAGAGCCACAAGCCAAACUUGAGCGCCUCUUCGCCUAGAGAGAAAAACCUCAUACUAUUUGCCACCAAAAGUGAGAUGAGAGAAGUGUGAGAGAACCCAUCGAGUGUGAUGCACUUUGUCCUUGUGUGCAAGGAUGGAGAAACAAAAACUAACACCAUUCACGAUUUACCUUUGGUGUUUCAAUCUCUUUUGUAGGAAUUUCAAGAUGUUUUCCCUGAUGAGCUACCUCCAGGUCUACCUCCUCUUCGAGGCAUUGAGCAUCGAAUCGACCUCAUCCCCGGAGCGCCACUUCCAAAUAAAGCUCCAUACCGUGUCAAUCUUGAAGAAACCAAGGAGAUUCAAUGGCAAGUACAACAACUAAUCGACAACGGUCAUGUACGUGAAAGCUUAAGCCCUUGUGUCGUUCCCGUUAUACUUGUGCCUAAGCCCGAUGGAAGUUUCCGCUUGUGUUCCGAUUGUAGACCCAUAAAUGCUAUCACCGUUCGCUAUAGGCAUCCCAUUCCUCGCUUAGAUGAUAUGCUUGAUGAACUUAGUGGAGCCAACUUUUUCUCAAAAAUUGAUCUUAAAAGUGGCUAUUAUCAAAUACGCAUUCACGAGGGUGAUGAAUGGAAAACGGCUUUCAAAACAAAAUUUGGUUUAUAUGAAUGGUUAGUCAUGCCUAUGGGUUUAUCGGAGGCUCCCGGUACUUUUGUGCGUCUCAUGCAUCAUGUACUUCGACCUUACAUUGGAGUCUUUGUUGUGGUUUACUUCGAUGAUAUUCUUGUGUUUAGCAAAACCAUGAAAGAGCAUCUUGAUCAUGUUAAGCUUGUUUUGCAAACACUUCGCAAGGAAAGUCUUUAUGCUAACAUGAAAAAGUGCACAUUUGGUGUUGACAAAGUGGUUUUCUUGGGUUUCGUUGUUUCUUCCAAGGGUGUCCAUGUUGAUGAAACUAAAAUUGAAGCAAUUAAAACUUGUCCCCAACCCACCAAUUUGCAACAAGUGCGAAGUUUUCUCGGUCUUGCAGGUCUUUAUCGUUGCUUUGUGAAAAACUUUAGCACUAUUGCUGCCCCUUUGCAUGCUUUGAUAAAGAAAAAUGCUCCUUUUGUUUGGGGAACUUUGCAAUCAAUCGCUUUUGACGAGCUCAAGUCUUUGCUUACUCAUGCUCCGAUUCUUGUUUUGCCUAAUUUUGACAAAACUUUUGAGGUUCAUUGUGAUGCAAGUGGUACCGGAAUUGGCGGAGUUUUGAUGCAAGAAAAACGAGCCAUUGCAUAUUUUAGUGAAAAACUCUCCGGUGCUCAACUUAACUACCCCAUAUAUGACAAAGAAUUGUAUGCUUUAGUGCGUGUACUACAUGUUUGGGAACAUUAUCUUAGGCCUCAUGAGUUUGUCAUCCAUACCGAUCAUGAAACGCUCAAGUACUUAAAAGGUCAAACUAAAUUGAACAAGCGUCAUGCCAAAUGGAGUGAACUUAUUGAAUCUUUCCCAUAUGUGAUCAAGUACAUUAAGGUUAAGGAAAAUGUAGUUGCCGAUGCACUUUCACGCAUAUGUACGCUUGUCACUAAACUUGAGUUGAAUGUUAUUGGUUUUGAGCACAUCAAAGACUUGUAUGCUAGUGAUCCAUCUUUUGCACCUCAUUAUGCCAAAUGUUUGACGCAUACAUCUUGGGAACAAUAUUACAUCAAGGAUGGUUAUCUUAUGAGAGCUAACAAACUAUGCAUUCCCGAGUCUUCUCUUCGUUUGCUCCUUUUGCAAGAGGCUCAUGGAGGCGGACUCAUGGGACACUUUGGACGCGACAAGACUUUCGCCACGCUCUCCAAGAACUACUUUUGGCCCAAGAUGUUCCGCGACGUCUCACGCUUCACUACUCGAUGCUCUACAUGCCGCAAAGCUAAGUCAAAAGCUCAAUCUCAUGGUCUUUACAUGCCUGUUCCUAUUCCUUAUCAACCUUGGGAAGACAUUAGCAUGGAUUUUGUACUUGGUUUGCCUAGAACUCAAAAUGGAAAGGAUUCCGUGUUUGUUGUUGUGGACCGAUUUUCUAAGAUGGCACAUUUCAUUCCUUGCAACAAGAUAGACGAUGCUUCACAUGUUGCACAUCUCUUUUGUAGGGAAAUCUUGUGUCUCCAUGGAGUACCAAAGACAAUCGUAUCCGACCGCGACGUCAAGUUCUUGAGCUACUUUUGGAAGACCCUAUGCGCCAAGCUCGGAAUCAAGCUCUUGUUCUCAUCCGUGUACCAUCCUCAAACCGACGGCCAAACGGAGGUGACGAACCGGACUCUCUCCACUCUACUUCGCGUGUUGAUCAAGAAGAACAUCAAGGAGUGGGAGGCAUGUCUACCCAUCGCCGAGUACGCCUACAACCGUGCAAGACAUUCGACUACCGGCAAGUCUCCCUUCGAGGUCGUCUAUGGCUUCAACCCAUUGUCCCCAUUGGACAUUCUACCUCUACCUCUACAAGAGUGCACCAACAUGGAUGCGAGCGCACGAGCAAGCUACAUCAAGAAGAUGCAUGAAGAUACAAGGCACACCAUCGAACGCCAAGUACAACGACUAGCGACCAAGCUCAACGUCAACAAGCAACCCAUGAUCUUCAACAUUGGCGAUCUUGUGUGGAUACACCUUCGAAAGAACCGCUUCCCCAAUGAACGCAAGUCCAAACUUCUCCCUCGAGCCGAUGGACCUUUCAAGGUGCUAGCACGCUACAACGACAACGCCUACAAGAUAGACCUCCCACGAGGCAAGUACAAUGUGAGCGACAUCUUCAACGUCAAGGACCUUGCGCCAUACCAUGGAGAUGAAGAUCUCGAUCCGUGGUCGGAUCCUUCCCAAGGGGGGGGGAGAUGAUGCGGAUCAUCCCUCGCUCAUCCACAUGGACGUGUCUACAUCUUCCUCAACACCACUUGGACCCAUGACAAGAGCUAGAGCCAAGGCUAUCGAAGAUAAGGUGAACUCGCUCCUUUCCGAACUUCCUCUCUCUACUCACGAGACUUGGCUACUACCUUAUACGGACACUUUGUGUGUGAUCAGGUACCUGGAGGAAAGCCAAGGUGCAUCUACAUCCAUUGGACAAGAAGGCGAAGCUACCAACCACGAAGAUCAAGAAGAAGGUCCACCGGAGAAAGCUCCAGCCACCGGAUAUCCGGCCCAGACCGGACGACCGGCGCCUGAAGCCCCACCCGCCAAGUCCCAGCCAGAUCAGGCCCCAGCGAGCGGACGUCCGGCCCAGACCGGACGACCGGCGCCUGAAGCCCCAGCCAGGCCCCAGCGAGCGGACGUCCAGCCCAGACCGGACGACCGGCCACACUCCAGCGAGCGGACGACCGGAGCCACCGGACGUCCGGCAUCUGUCAAUAGAAGGGAAAUUAACAGAAGUAUGAAACUUCCAGACGUCCGGUGCACCCAUUCCAGAGAGCUUCCAGCGGACGUCCGGCGUCACCGGACGACCGGUCCCUCAUGAGCCACUGGACGACCGGCCCCCAGCGGACGUCCGGCGUCACCGGACGACCGGUCCCUCAUGAGCCACCGGACGACCGGCCCCCAGCGGACGGCCGGUGCCUGUCUGCGCACAGUUUCGGGCCAAAGCCCAUAUACCCCUCUACUUCGCCCCCUUUUGCACUAAGACUAUAAAUAGGACCCCUCCUCCUCCUAGCUAGAGUUAGCAUUGGAUUAGCUCAUAUUUGUGUGAGAGCCUUUGCUCAUCCACUUGGAUACUUCUCCUUGGAGAUCACAACCUCUUCGGAGAAGAUCCCCCAAGCGGAUUCAAGACCCAUCUCUAGGGAAGAACAUCAAGGCCUCCUCACGGAGAAGAACGGUUCCUUUGUAUCCUUACCUGUGUUGACUUUGGAUCUCGUGUAUCUCUUAUGUGUGUGGUCAUCUAGCACUUGUGUGAUCGAUUCCUUGUUGGUUUAGUGAUUCUCUCUCUCGUUUUCCCCGUGUUUCCCUUUGUGCUUCCGCGUGCUCUUCGUGAUUCCCCGUACGAUCCACUCCAAACGUGAAAGAUCUAUAGGGUCCCACCCUACAUCAGAUGACACGGGUCAUAAUAUGCACAUGAGCUGAAUAACAGGUCUUGAGAAGGUACAAAAAGGUAGGAUCCAAAAGGUGUGAAACUUUGAGGUGUUUUUUUGUAGAGCAACACAGCAAAGGGGUUCCCCUCCAUUCAAUUGUAACAUCGAUGGUAAGCUGAAUAACAAUUUAAACAUAGGGUCUGAUAUGAAUGAUAUUGCCUUAAAUUGAACAAAGCAUCUCAUGAAGGAAACUAUAUAUUUACCUCGUCUCUUUCUAUUUUUUUCAAGGGAAAAGUGAUCUACAGACAACGCUUCCCUUCCCUGUUUCUUUAGAAGAUGCACACAAUCUGUCGAUGAUAGGUGAUCAAAAGUUUAGAAUGUAGAUACGUUAAAAGAUACUGCUAAACAUAGAACAUGUGACAUGAAAAAUACAAUACCCAUUGUGUUUGUUCAUGGCUGCAGAGGGGUGUGUGGAGGUGUUUUCUCUGAUGGAGCUAUCCUAUGGGCAUCACUCAUCAACGAGAACCAUGUGUAUAAGCUUGACGGGGCCAAUUUCAAGACCACCACGAUAAUGCCACAGGAGAGAUACACGGACGCAGAGUCUGGCCACCCAAUCCAUGCUGUAGAGCGGAUAGUCCAAUGCAUUUC
This 11863-nucleotide long non-coding RNA is filed under the name Triticum aestivum (bread wheat). RNAcentral describes it as "long non-coding RNA (TAES_LNC016007)". Lineage: Eukaryota; Viridiplantae; Streptophyta; Magnoliopsida; Poales; Poaceae. The record is from RNAcentral.